AUUUUUUGUCAAACUUUGUUUGACCAUGUUGAACUUGGGAUAAUUUACUUGGACUUUUCAAAGUUGAUUUGAAGUGAGUUUGAAGUUUGACCUUUCUUUAUUAUUUUAAUUCAAGUUUUAUUUUAAUAUUAAAAAAUACCAAAAAUAUUUUAUUUGUUUCUUGACUUCUUAUCUUCAUCUUGCUUCUGUUUUCUAUUGUUUGACCUUGAUCUUUUUUUUU
RNAcentral lists this long non-coding RNA (220 nucleotides) under Lathyrus oleraceus (garden pea). Its description in RNAcentral is "Pisum sativum (pea) long non-coding RNA (PSAT_LNC025059)". The record is from RNAcentral. Lineage: Eukaryota; Viridiplantae; Streptophyta; Magnoliopsida; Fabales; Fabaceae.